This 199-nucleotide ribosomal RNA is filed under the name uncultured bacterium. Its description in RNAcentral is "partial 16S ribosomal RNA". It matches the Rfam family "Bacterial small subunit ribosomal RNA", at positions 328 to 539 of the family's 1533-position model. The record is from RNAcentral.
ACGCUCGACACCUACUGGAGGCAGCAGUGGGGAAUAUUGCACAAUGGGGGAAACCCUGAUGCAGCAACGCCGCGUGAAGGAAGACGGUUUUCGGAUUGUAAACUUCUGUUCUUAGUGAAGAUAGUGACGGUAGCUAAGGAGCAAGCCACGGCUAACUACGUGCUAGCAGCCGNGGUAAUCUGAGGCGGGCUGGCAAGGC